Molecule: ribosomal RNA, 319 nt
Filed under: uncultured bacterium
Lineage: Bacteria
Description: bacterial SSU rRNA
Rfam family: Bacterial small subunit ribosomal RNA
Source: RNAcentral
UACGGGAAAGAUCCGCAAGGAUCGCCCGAGGACGAGCCUGCGGCCCAUCAGCUUGUUGGUGAAGGUAAAGCUCACCAAGGCUAAGACGGGUAGCUGGUCUGAGAGGAUGAUCAGCCACACUGGAACUGAGACACGGUCCAGACUCCGUACGGGAGGCAGCAGGUGGGGAAUAUUGCGCAAUGGACGAAAGUCUGACGCAGCCACGCCGCGUGAGCGAUGAAGGCCUUCGGGUCGUAAAGCUCUGUGGGGAGAGAAGAAUAAAGCCGGUGAAGAGCCGGCCCUGACGGUAUCUCCUUAGCAAGCACCGGCUAACUCCGUG